ACCCUUGUGGAGGAGGACGCCGAAGGUGGGGCUAAUGACUGGGGUGAAGUCGUAACAAGGUAGCCGUACCGGAAGGUGCGGCUGGAUCACCUCCUAACAGGGAGACAACAAAAUGUUAAAUAUUAAUUUUGUCACCUUAGGUCGAUCGGUAUCUCACAUUCUUAAUUUAUUAAGAAUUUUAUUUCCUAAGUUUUUUCUAGGUCACACCCAUUACUUUUUCCUGGGCCAUUAGCUCAGGUGGUUAGAGCGCACCCCUGAUAAGGGUGAGGUCCCUGGUUCAAGUCCAGGAUGGCCCAUAUCUCUAUGUUGGGGGUAUAGCUCAGUUGGUAGAGCGCCUGCUUUGCAAGCAGGAUGUCAGCGGUUCGAGUCCGCUUACCUCCACUGAUCACCACCUCUUCCAUAAUCUUAUAGAAGGGAAAUGUUUUGAGUUGUGAUCAAAUUCUGAACGAAUCUAGCUUCCUAAUAAAACUUAUUAAGAUGCUGGACUCAUUGAAUUAAUUUCAUUGUUUUCAGAGAACCUUGACAACUGCAUAGAUUAUUUUUAAAGACAAUAAGCAUCUUUAAUGAUGCAGAUUUAUUAUUUGUGCGAAUGCAUUAAUAACAAUUCUAUUAAGCUGAUGCUUCAAUUUUUGAAGUUAUUGGUCAAGCUACAAAGGGCUCACGGAGGAUACCUAGGCACACAGAGGCGAUGAGGU
Molecule: unclassified non-coding RNA, 695 nt
Filed under: uncultured Prochlorococcus sp.
Lineage: Bacteria; Bacillati; Cyanobacteriota; Cyanophyceae; Synechococcales; Prochlorococcaceae
Description: partial may contain 16S ribosomal RNA, 16S-23S ribosomal RNA intergenic spacer, and 23S ribosomal RNA
Rfam family: Bacterial small subunit ribosomal RNA (bases 1-97)
Source: RNAcentral